Long non-coding RNA from Dermacentor silvarum, 2583 nucleotides. RefSeq lists it as uncharacterized. NCBI's taxonomy places the organism in Eukaryota, Metazoa, Arthropoda, Arachnida, Ixodida, Ixodidae. The record is from RefSeq and is a predicted model, not a curated record. The transcript has 2 exons.
UGGUCAUUUCCUUGCCGCAACUGCACAGAAUUGGCAAAAAUAAGUCGCGCACACAAAUGUGUACACCGUGACUGAAGGGAGUGUCAAUAUGAGCUUGAGAGUGCGAAUAUUUAUUUACAGGAAAGCAAACGGCUCAGCCUGAGCCAUUGCGCUCUCACCUACUUUUCUGCUCACAACAUGAGUUGGUAACUGUUAUAAUAGGGCUGACUCCACACGUUGCUUGCAUUUGUUGAAAUCAAUUUUUUUCUCCAUGUAAGUGUUCUUGUAGUAUUUGAGCCCACUUAAUGGUAAAGUCACGACAGCAGAAGCUUUCCUUGUUUUUCUUUUGCCAAUUUGUUAGCAUAGCAGCACAUACUGUGCAGUUUAUUCUAUUAUCCAGCCAUGCUUUGUACUAAUAGAGUAUACAACAGCUCUGGACGAUUUUGGAAAAUGUAAUGAAACACGGAAACUGCCUUUUAGCAUUAAGCACGUGGAAACUUUAAGUUUGUCGCUUCAUCUGUCAACCUAGAGCCUUCAUUUUUCAUAGUAAUAAUACAUAGGUACAACACAACAAUAUAGGCAAGCUUUCAAUUUAACCGAAAUUUUCAUUGUCCUAUUAAAUGGGACAUGUCGCCACUAUACCGCAACUUUAUUGGCGUUAAAUUUCGUUUUGACAUUCUUGUCCAUGUGCUAAAUUCUCUUUUGGACAGUUUUUUUCACAGCCUGCAAGCACAACUUCAGCAAUGCGUAACCUUUAUCUGCAUGAGAGACAGGUCAGGACUUAGUGGCAUUGUUCUUUGACGUAGUGAAUGUUAUGUAAGGAAUUAGGAACCAGCAGUGAGUAGCACUUUGCAGCACUACUUAACAACACAGACACGCUACUUAAGCAUUCCGAGGUCUAGUGGCAGCCACCAAGUGACAUUUUUCCACUGAUUCAUGUAAUAAAUUAUGGCAUGCACCCUGUUUUUGGUAGCUCUUUGAACUAGUGCAUACAGCUUUCUGCUAUCACGUAGCUGCAGUAAUAGUAUAUGUUCAUGGAAUGACUGGGAGCGCUGUGUUCUUUACCGUCACAUUUCAGUACAUAUGGCAUCACGUGUACUGAUCACAAAGACCUCUAGACAACAACACCUAAUUUGAUAACCUACACAGUGCACUUGAGCUUCAUAUAUCAUGUCAGCUGCAUGCCUAUUUGCAUGAUUGCAAGGAGGCAUGCAGUCAGCAACAGGGAUGACUGCAGUUACCUGUAUCUUAAAUGAAUAUUCACUUAAUGUACGUCACUUCAACUGUCUUGCACUGUUCUGCACAAGUCGACUUGCAUAUGUGAUGCUGCUAGCUAAUAUCUGGUAAUAAUAAUCCUUGUUUUCUCAGUGACAGCUAGCCUCCAUGGGGUGGUGCAGACAGGCGAGUGUCAUUGCUGGGGCACCUCCAGGCUAUCCACAGGAAAUGGAACAUGAAGGCAGCUGCUAACAUGUUUUCAUGAAGCCCAUGCCACCACAUGAAGCACAUCAUACAGUCGUUGCUUGCGUUGAAGUUUGUAGCUGGAAUGCCCUGCUUCCUUUUAAGUUGGCGAGCCUCCUUCUAUAUCAUUUAAAUUUACACAGCACAGCUGUGUAUCCAGAGGCUUCUGAGAUACAAAACUGCUAUUUCAACUUGCGGGUAAAAAUCAGUCUUCGGUCAGCGGAAAUUCCUGCUUGCCUUGCUGGUAGCAUUCAGCUUUUCAUGUGGUGGUCUCUAACGGCAGAUGUGUACUUUGUUGACGCUGAAGUGCCUGCUCAAUGAACGACUGCCACUAUACAAAGCAUGUUGAAAUGCUUUGAGCUUAAAGCAGGUGCUGUAGCUUGCUCACGAUCUCAUUUGGCACGCCAGCAGUGUAAUCACUCCAUGCAUGCGUGGCAUGACCCGUCGAGACUGACAAAAAAAACGCGGAAAAAUACUAGCUUUAUGCAUAUAGCGCUAGAUAGCUCCAGUGCUGGUACUGCCACUGGCAUUCACAGCUGGCCAUUAUCAUCAGCCAAAGUCAAAACCAGGUCACCUGUUGCAGUGCGGAGUUGCAAGUACGGUCAUUGUGUAGGAGGGGGGGGGGAGGGGAUAUGUGAAUUUGUAUUGUGUGCAUACUUACGGUGUGUGCACAAUAAAUAAUUAACCAAGCAGGUACGCAGUAACGUCUAGCUAUUUUGGGAUUAUUGCUGCUAUUCAACAGGGAUCUGUGUAAUGAAAACAGCUUGGUGUGCCUGGCGUACAAUUACUUGAAAAUAUGCAUUUGCUUCCUAUUGACCCUUUGCCAGCCACAAAGCCUGCUUCAAAACAGUAAUAAAUAUUACUUGUACUGCUUUCACCACUUGUUGUUCCUUUAAUAACGUUUAUGCUCAAUUGCUCAACGUUUCUCAGUGUAAUAAUCAACGCAACAAGUAUUGUACUUUAUAGUUUUUCUGUCGUAUGGCAAUAAUGGUUCAUUUGUUUCUGCAGCUGUUGUCACAACGCGGACGACACCGUGUGAAAGGAGGUUAUGGAAAAGAGACUGAAAGCAGUGCACUGGUACCCCUUGUAGCAAUUGGGUAAUGUGCUGUAGUAGUGAACUUUGCAAUAAAGGUUUAUGUCUGCUGA